GAAGGAGAUCGAGGUCGUGGGGACGGGGGAAGACGAAGGUGGAGGGGGAGGAUGGUUCUUUCGUGCUCAACAUCGGGUGGUCGGCGCUGUGGUUCCAGACGAGAGAUGUAGCCCGUGAGCUUGAUUAGCUGUAAAAAGCAGUUGUUCUUUUGGACUUGGUCUCUGAACGCCGGGUGUGUGAGGUUGCUGUGUAUUCUUCGCCUGUGCACUGUAAUACAUAAUUUAGCCAGCAGGAAGGUGGGUUCAGUUCAGCUCUUUUCUUGCAGUAGUAUAUUCAGUGUGAUGGAAUUCAGUAAAACUUGUCAGUACUAGUUCUUAUCUGUAAUAUUAUGCGACAGAAUUUUAUUACUGCCA
Molecule: long non-coding RNA, 354 nt
Organism: Triticum dicoccoides
Lineage: Eukaryota; Viridiplantae; Streptophyta; Magnoliopsida; Poales; Poaceae
Exons: 2
Source: RefSeq, a predicted model, not a curated record